Molecule: non-coding RNA, 579 nt
Organism: Sus scrofa (pig)
Lineage: Eukaryota; Metazoa; Chordata; Mammalia; Artiodactyla; Suidae
Source: RefSeq, a predicted model, not a curated record
ACUUCUGCCCUGGGCUUGCCUUUGCUCCCACCCCCAGCAGCCUGGCCACCAGGAAGAAAGGCUCUCCUUUAUCUUUUGAUUCGGGCCAGAGUGAAACCCAGGAGACCCCCAACUCCAAAGAAAUAUCCUGAGAAAGGAAUCUUUCUACCCUGCCUCAAGUUCUGCAGACCAUUGGGAAUGGAAACUGCCUGCCUCAUGAAGUGCUAAGCUAACUCACCAAACCACGGAGGUCCUACCAGGCAUUUGCGCAGCCGGUAACCCCCUGCAGUAAAGUUGCAAAGAAUGAAUGGGGAUUGGAAUAUGCUGAGUGCCUGCCUUGGCCUGGCAUCUGACUUCUGUUCAUUCAUCACAGUCAUCCAACGAGGAGCAUCCAACAGGGCCUGUGCUUCAAUGGGGAAUACGAAAUGAACACACCUCCCAGCUCCCAAGAACACACACUCCAGAGGGGCAGACAAAGUGUGAACACAGGCACUUCAUGCAGAGCUGCUAGGAGCCCAUAGUGGCUUUUGGAACAGGUGGGUUUAUUUUAUUUUAUUUAUUUAUGUAUUUAUGUAUGUAUGUAUGUAUUUUACUUUUUAG